This 59-nucleotide transfer RNA is filed under the name Hemiselmis rufescens. The record is from RNAcentral. Lineage: Eukaryota; Cryptophyceae; Cryptomonadales; Hemiselmidaceae.
GGUCCCCUUUUUGCUAGAGGUGGGGUGCUUUAAAUUCGAACCCACGCGAUUUUCACCAU